RNAcentral lists this ribosomal RNA (324 nucleotides) under uncultured eukaryote. Its description in RNAcentral is "partial 18S ribosomal RNA". It matches the Rfam family "Eukaryotic small subunit ribosomal RNA", at positions 1470 to 1796 of the family's 1831-position model. The record is from RNAcentral.
CCCUUAGAUGCUCUGGGCCGCACGCGCGCUACACUGGUCGAUGCAACGAGUUUCUUUCCUUGGCCGACAGGCCUGGGCAAUCUUUGAACAUCGAUCGUGAUCGGGAUAGAUUCUUGUAAUUUUUGAUCUUAAACGAGGAAUUCCUAGUAAACGCAAGUCAUCAGCUUGCAUUGAUUACGUCCCUGCCCUUUGUACACACCGCCCGUCGCACCUACCGAUUGAAUGGUCCGGUGAAAUCUCCGGACUGGCGUGAGUCGGAGCAAUCUGACAAACACCGGAAAGUUGAUUAAACCUUACCAUUUAGAGGAAGGUGAGGUCGUAACA